UACGUAGGGUGCAAGCGUUAAUCGGAAUUACUGGGCGUAAAGCGUGCGCAGGCGGUUGUGCAAGACAGAUGUGAAAUCCCCGGGCUUAACCUGGGAACUGCAUUUGUGACUGCACGGCUAGAGUGUGUCAGAGGGGGGUAGAAUUCCACGUGUAGCAGUGAAAUGCGUAGAGAUGUGGAGGAAUACCGAUGGCGAAGGCAGCCUCCUGGGCCAACACUGACGCUCAUGCACGAAAGCGUGGGGAGCAAACAGG
Molecule: ribosomal RNA, 253 nt
Filed under: uncultured bacterium
Lineage: Bacteria
Description: partial 16S ribosomal RNA
Rfam family: Bacterial small subunit ribosomal RNA
Source: RNAcentral